GAUGAACGCUGGCGGCGUGCCUAAUACAUGCAAGUCGAGCGAACGGACGAGAAGCUUGCUUCUCUGAUGUUAGCGGCGGACGGGUGAGUAACACGUGGAUAACCUACCUAUAAGACUGGGAUAACUCCGGGAAACCGGAGCUAAUACCGGAUGAUAUUUUGAACCGCAUGGUUCAAAAGUGAAAGACGGUCUUGCUGUCACUUAUAGAUGGAUCCGCGCUGCAUUAGCUAGUUGGUAAGGUAACGGCUUACCAAGGCAACGAUGCAUAGCCGACCUGAGAGGGUGAUCGGCCACACUGGAACUGAGACACGGUCCAGACUCCUACGGGAGGCAGCAGUAGGGAAUCUUCCGCCAUGGGCGCAAGCCUGACGGAGCACCGCCGCGUGAGUGAUGAAGGUCUUCGGAUCGUAAAACUCUGUUAUUAGGGAAGAACAUAUGUGUAAGUAACUGUGCACAUCUUGACGGUACCUAAUCAGAAAGCCACGGCUAACUACGUG
Molecule: ribosomal RNA, 497 nt
Filed under: uncultured bacterium
Lineage: Bacteria
Description: partial 16S ribosomal RNA
Rfam family: Bacterial small subunit ribosomal RNA
Source: RNAcentral